GAUGAACGCUGGCGGCGUGCCUAAUACAUGCAAGUCGAGCGAACGGACGAGAAGCUUGCUUCUCUGAUGUUAGCGGCGGACGGGUGAGUAACACGUGGAUAACCUACCUAUAAGACUGGGAUAACUUCGGGAAACCGGAGCUAAUACCGGAUAAUAUUUUGAACCGCAUGGUUCAAAAGUGAAAGACGGUCUUGCUGUCACUUAUAGAUGGAUCCGCGCUGCAUUAGCUAGUUGGUAAGGUAACGGCUUACCAAGGCAACGAUGCAUAGCCGACCUGAGAGGGUGGUCGGCCACACUGGAACUGAGACACGGUCCAGACUCCUACGGGAGGCAGCAGUAGGGAAUCUUCCGCAAUGGGCGAAAGCCUGACGGAGCAACGCCGCGUGAGUGAUGAAGGUCUUCGGAUCGUAAAACUCUGUUAUUAGGGAAGAACAUAUGUGUAUGUAACUGUGCACAUCUUGACGGUACCUAAUCAGAAAGCCACGGCUAACUACGUGCCAGCAGCCGCGGUAAUACGUAGGUGGGCAGCGUUAUCCCGAAUUAUGGGGCGUAAAGCGCGCGUAGGCGGUUUUUUAAGUCUGAUGUGAAAGCCCACGGCUCAACCCGUGGAGGGUCAUUGGAAACUGGAAAACUUGAGUGCAGAAGAGGAAAGUGGAAUUCCAUGUGUAGCGGUGAAAUGCGCAGAGAUAUGGAGGAACACCAGUGGCGAAGGCGACUUUCUGGUCUGUAACUGACGCUGAUGUGCGAAAGCGUGGGGAUCAAACAGGAUUAGAUACCCUGGUAGUCCACGCCGUAAACGAUGAGUGCUAAGUGUUAGGGGGUUUCCGCCCCUUAGUGCUGCAGCUAACGCAUUAAGCACUCCGCCUGGGGAGUACGACCGCAAGGUUGAAACUCAAAGGAAUUGACGGGGACCCGCACAAGCGGUGGAGCAUGUGGUUUAAUUCGAAGCAACGCGAAGAACCUUACCAAAUCUUGACAUCCUUUGACAACUCUAGAGAUAGAGCCUUCCCCUUCGGGGGACAAAGUGACAGGUGGUGCAUGGUUGUCGUCAGCUCGUGUCGUGAGAUGUUGGGUUAAGUCCCGCAACGAGCGCAACCCUUAAGCUUAGUUGCCAUCAUUAAGUUGGGCACUCUAAGUUGACUGCCGGUGACAAACCGGAGGAAGGUGGGGAUGACGUCAAAUCAUCAUGCCCCUUAUGAUUUGGGCUACACACGUGCUACAAUGGACAAUACAAAGGGCAGCGAAACCGCGAGGUCAAGCAAAUCCCAUAAAGUUGUUCUCAGUUCGGAUUGUAGUCUGCAACUCGACUACAUGAAGCUGGAAUCGCUAGUAAUCGUAGAUCAGCAUGCUACGGUGAAUACGUUCCCGGGUCU
Molecule: ribosomal RNA, 1373 nt
Filed under: uncultured bacterium
Lineage: Bacteria
Description: bacterial SSU rRNA
Rfam family: Bacterial small subunit ribosomal RNA
Source: RNAcentral